Long non-coding RNA from Xyrauchen texanus (razorback sucker), 2265 nucleotides. RefSeq lists it as uncharacterized. The transcript is spliced from 5 exons. The record is from RefSeq and is a predicted model, not a curated record. Lineage: Eukaryota; Metazoa; Chordata; Actinopteri; Cypriniformes; Catostomidae.
UGUAUAGCUUUCUUUAGAGGUAACCAUUGCGAACAAGAACGUGAUCUUCCCUCCUUUUAUAGAAAUCAGUCUUCUCUUAUAAUCCAAUCAGAAUGAUAGGGUGAUUUCACCUGAUUAGUACUUGUUCACACUUUCCCAAAUGCUGCUAAUAUGAUUAGUGAAAUUAUGUUGGCUGGCCAUUUUGUGCCAGGACCAAAAAAAAGUGAAAUUUGGGUUUUUGUGAUUAAAGUAAAAAAAAUUUGGCCAAUUAAGCUUUUUGCAAUUAUUUAAAAUGCAUCUGAUCACUCUACACAAUAAUCUAGACACAAUGUGAAUCAACACCACAACAAAUGAAGCAGAAAAAUUUGCAAAACACUAAAUGUAUGUCACUGCCAAUACUUUUGGCAAUGGCUGUACUGUGUUAUUUAUUACAAAAACAGAGAACUCUUUAAUAAUGAUGAGAUGAUUAGUUUAAUAUACACUACCAGUCAAAUGUUUGCACACACUUGACUGAAUACAAGUGAAGCUCAAUCGACAGCAUUUGUGGCAUAAUAUUGAUAACCACUAAAACAAAAUUUUAACUUUUCCCUCCUCUUGAUUAAAAAAAAGCAAAAAUCGAGGUUACUGUGAGGCGCUUACAAUGGAAGUGAAUGGGACCAAUCCAUAAACAUAAAAAUUCUCACUGUUUCUGAAGUAUAGCCACAAGAAAUGAACAAUAUGCGUAUUUACAUGAUUUUUAGUGUGAUAAAAUCGCUUACUAACCCUUUCUGGGUAAAGUUAUAUCCAAUUUUACAACUUUGUUACCUUGACGACAUAACACUGUAAACCCUAAAAUGACUGUAAAAAUGACAAUUUAAACAACUUCACAGCUCAAACAAUAAAUUAUUUUUAACAGAAUAAUUAAUGUAAGUGCUUUGUUAAAAUUAUAAGCUUCACAUUUCUGCCUUUAAACCCUCCAAAAAUUGUCCCCAUUCACUUAAUUAUUUUCACUUAAAAAAAUUGUUUUAAAAGCUUGUGCUUAAAUAAUUGUAAAACAAAUGUAAAUUGUGUCCACUUAUGGAUUUCAUUACAAAACUACAUUAUUAAUAUGAAAAAGAUAAUAAACAGGAACUCCUACAAUACAGUUGCAUAUUAAAGGAAUGAUUCACCCAAAAAUUUACAUUUACUCAUCCUCAUGCCGUCCCAGAUGUGUAUGACUUUCUUUCUUCUGCUGAACACCUUUUUAUACACUACAUAACCACUUUCACUUCCACAUUCUUCUUCUUUUGUUUUUGGCAAUUUGCAAUCUACAGAGCAGGGAGGUGAAUUUAUAGUACAAAUGACUUAAAUAUUGAUGUUUCUCACCCACGCUUAUCAUAUCGGUUCUGAAGACAUGGAUUAAAACACUGGAGUCACAUAGAUUACGUUGAAGCUGCCUUUAUGUGCUUUUUGGAGCUUCAAAGUUCUGGUCACCAUUUAGUUGCAUUGUGUGAACCAACAGAUCUAAAAUGUUCUUCAGAAAGAAAGUCAUCUGGGAUGACACGAGGCUAAGUAAAUGAUGAGAGAUUCUUUUUAUUUUUUGGUGAACUAGCCCUUUAAAAUGGGUUCGUGAAGUGCAGUUUAUGAUUGUUAAUAUUUAAUAAAAUCGAUUGAUGAAACGUCGAGUGUUCAGAGCUGAUGCUAGGCAAAAGGUGGCUACUUUCAAGAAACUAAAACAUAUGAUUGAUUUUGUUUAACUUUUUUGGUCACUUCAUUUGUCCAAUACUUUGUUUGGUUAUUUCAUUGUUUUGGUGAUGGUUUUCUAUUCUGAAAUGAGGAAAAUUUUAAUAAUAAAGAAUGAGUAGGUGUGUCCAAACUUUUGACUAGUAUGGCUGCUUGUGAUUUUUAGUCAGGCAUUUUCAUUGUUUCCUAAACUGGGGCUUUAUUUCCUUUCUUUUACACGUGGAGAUGAGCGGAAACUGAUCUGUUCGAGCACACUUUUGGUGGUGUAGUGUAUGGUUUUUGUUCUCAGCGUUUAUCAAAACCAGUGGGAAACGUAACACAUAACAACAUGCUGACACCACGAGGACCAUUAGCAUAAAUUGUGUGCUUAACUGCAGGUGACCGACCAUUGCAACAGAAGGCUGCUACAGCAACAUGGAUGGGGUUCAGUGACCGUUGUAUGUAAAGCCCACAAAAGCUUCAGGGUGAUCCUUUCUAGCGAAGUGAAAUGACCCUGCAUUAAAGAACCUGUGCUGAGUGGCUGUGAUCUGCAUAUGUAUAUCUGCACUACAUGACAUUUUUAUAAAUAAAGCCUUUUGCCUCCAA